UGGUAUUUAGUUUAAAGUAAAAUAAAUGAUUUCGACUCAUUAGAUUGUGAUUUAACUCACAACUACCAA
This 69-nucleotide transfer RNA is filed under the name Muntiacus reevesi (Reeves' muntjac). RNAcentral's name for it is "tRNA-Arg". It matches the Rfam family "tRNA". From Rfam's summary of the family: Transfer RNA (tRNA) molecules are approximately 80 nucleotides in length. Lineage: Eukaryota; Metazoa; Chordata; Mammalia; Artiodactyla; Cervidae. The record is from RNAcentral.